Molecule: unclassified non-coding RNA, 392 nt
Filed under: soil metagenome
Description: partial contains 5.8S ribosomal RNA, internal transcribed spacer 2, and large subunit ribosomal RNA
Rfam family: 5.8S ribosomal RNA (bases 1-122)
Source: RNAcentral
GAUGAAGAACGCAGCGAAAUGCGAUACUUGGUGUGAAUUGCAGAAUCCCGUGAACCAUCGAGUCUUUGAACGCAAGUUGCGCCCGAAGCCAUUAGGCCGAGGGCACGCCUGUCUGGGCGUCACACGUCGUUGCCCCCCCAUCUACUCCUUCGGGAUUGCGGGGGGCGGAUGAUGGCCUCCCGUGCGCCUCGUCGCGCGGUUGGCCUAAAUGCCAAGUCCUCGGCGACGCACGCCACGACAAUCGGUGGUUGCGAAACCUCGGUUGCCUGUCGUGUGCGGUCGUCGCGCAUCGAGGGCUCGAAAAAAUUGCCGGGCUUCGGCUCGACUUUCAACGCGACCCCAGGUCAGGCGGGGUUACCCGCUGAAUUUAAGCAUAUCAAUAAGCGGAGGAU